This 253-nucleotide ribosomal RNA is filed under the name uncultured bacterium. RNAcentral's name for it is "partial 16S ribosomal RNA". It matches the Rfam family "Bacterial small subunit ribosomal RNA", at positions 524 to 776 of the family's 1533-position model. The record is from RNAcentral.
UACGUAGGGGGCAAGCGUUGUCCGGAUUUAUUGGGCGUAAAGAGCGUGUAGGCGGCCAGGUAGGUCCGUUGUGAAAACUAGAGGCUCAACCUCUAGACGUCGAUGGAAACCAUCUGGCUAGAGUCCGGAAGAGGAGAGUGGAAUUCCUGGUGUAGCGGUGAAAUGCGCAGAUAUCAGGAAGAACACACGUGGCGAAGGCGGAUCUCUGGGCCUUACCUGACGCUGAGGCGCGAAAGCUAGGGGAGCGAACAGG